GGCCAUACCACCCUGAAUGCUCCUGAUCUUGUCUGAUCUCAGAAGCUAAGCAGGGUUAGGCCUGUCUAGUACUUGGAUGGGGGGAAAAGGUUAGCCACAUGAGAACAAUUAAGUUAGAAAGCCU
Molecule: ribosomal RNA, 124 nt
Filed under: Chinchilla lanigera (long-tailed chinchilla)
Lineage: Eukaryota; Metazoa; Chordata; Mammalia; Rodentia; Chinchillidae
Source: RNAcentral